CAGAAAUCCUUGACUAGUCCACUGGAUUGGUUGCUUGAGUUUGAACUUCCCGGGCUUUUUUCCCUUUUUAGGAGAGGCCCACCCUCCCAGCAGUUGCUCUGGUGAGGCCUAGUCCUCCCUCAAAGCCUCCCCAUCACUCCAACACCUAUCUGCAGCUCAACACAGCCUGAUAAGAAGUUUGCUGAAUUUGUCUGAUAAGCUGCACUGACACAGAAGGAAGAUCAGCUAAAUCCUGUCCAGAACUUUGGCCUACCUAGAAGCUCAGCAGCCUGUAAAACUACACCAAAAGGAUGGCUGUUCCAAGUCUUCAGAGUAUCUCUGCACCAAAGCUUCAGGAAGCCCACAGCGACCAUGCUGCAAAUUCCAUUCAUCAAGUGAGUGACGUCUCAAAACACAGGCUUCAACAGCCCUUUACAGCAUUCACUCUAGAAGAUCUCACCUUUUUGCCAAGGGAUAUGCGGGAAGUAGAGGGGGAUUUGAUCACCUCUUUGUAAACAAAAUCACCAUCUUUGCCCUGUAAAACAAAGGAGGAUCACAACAAAGAUCAUAGUUGGCCAUAGUCCCCUUUUCUGACCAGCUCUCAGAGCUUGUGUAUGUUAACAAGUAAUAAAAAGGAGUUCUGGCUCAAAUGUCACACUUCUCUCAAUAAGA
Molecule: long non-coding RNA, 651 nt
Organism: Hemicordylus capensis (graceful crag lizard)
Lineage: Eukaryota; Metazoa; Chordata; Lepidosauria; Squamata; Cordylidae
Exons: 5
Source: RefSeq, a predicted model, not a curated record